This 232-nucleotide ribosomal RNA is filed under the name uncultured bacterium. RNAcentral describes it as "partial 16S ribosomal RNA". It matches the Rfam family "Bacterial small subunit ribosomal RNA", at positions 15 to 237 of the family's 1533-position model. The record is from RNAcentral.
GAUCAUGGCUCAGGAUGAACGCUAGCUACAGGCUUAACACAUGCAAGUCGAGGGGCAGCAUGAUUUGUAGCAAUACAGAUUGAUGGCGACCGGCGCACGGGUGAGUAACGCGUAUGCAACUUACCUAUCAGAGGGGGAUAGCCCGGCGAAAGUCGGAUUAAUACCCCAUAAAACAGGGGUCCCGCAUGGGAAUAUUUGUUAAAAAUUCAUCGCUGAUAGAUAGGCAUGCGUU